This 813-nucleotide long non-coding RNA is filed under the name Marmota monax (woodchuck). Lineage: Eukaryota; Metazoa; Chordata; Mammalia; Rodentia; Sciuridae. The record is from RNAcentral.
UGUGGCUCAAGUGGUAGCGCAUUCGCCUUGCAUACGUGAGGCACUGGGUUCGAUCCUCAGCACCAUAUAAAAAAAAAUAAGUGAAAUAAAGGAUGCUGUUCCAUCUACAAUUAAAAAAUAAAUAUUUUUUAAAAUAUCUAAUUUAAUGUUGGAAAAAAUGAAGCUGUUGCGUGACGGCAGCACAUGUGUUGGAAAUGUAUAAUUGUACCUAAAGCAUUUUAAGGUUCUGACCAUCUUCAGGGGGAUGUUGAAGUAUUAACCUAAUACUGGAUAAGCAUGCAUGUCAAAAUGUCUAAGGUAGUCAAGAAUAAACAAGAUGAAAAGAAGGUCAUUUUCUAAAUACUCUAAGGAACAAAUGAAAUGAGUGAAAGAAAAGACAAAAAACCCCAAAGAAGGAAGAAAAGAAAACACAUAGAGAAAAGACAAAUAAAAAACCUAAAAGAAUACGAUAAAAUCCAAACUAAUUUAAAUGAACUAGCACAACAAAUUUAAAUGGACUAAAAUUUGAUAGAGAGAAGACCAAUAUUGUCAGUUUUCUUUUAAACCAGAGGUAUACCAUUUAUAAGAGGUUACCUUAAACAAACGACAGAAAAUGUUUGGAAGUAAAAAAUAUUGAUUGGAAAUAUAGAAAGAGAAAUAGGGUGGUUUGUACUUGUAAUCCUGGCUACUCGGGAGGAGGAUCAAAAAUUUCAGGCUGACCUCAGCAGCUUGAUGAGAAAGAAAAUAAAUUAAAAAGGCAGGGAAGUAGCUCAAUGGUAAAAUGUCUCUGAGUUCAAUCCCCAGUACAGCAAUUAAAAACAAAAAGAGAGGAAG